GAAUGCACGGACUGUAAGUCGCUCUGGAUAAGAGCGUUUGCUAAAUGGCCAGAA
This is a non-coding RNA of Salmo salar (Atlantic salmon), 54 nucleotides long. The record is from Rfam. Lineage: Eukaryota; Metazoa; Chordata; Actinopteri; Salmoniformes; Salmonidae.